This 266-nucleotide ribosomal RNA is filed under the name uncultured bacterium. RNAcentral's name for it is "partial 16S ribosomal RNA". It matches the Rfam family "Bacterial small subunit ribosomal RNA", at positions 28 to 292 of the family's 1533-position model. The record is from RNAcentral.
GACGAACGCUGGCGGCGUGCUUAAUACAUGCAAGUCAACUUGACUUUAGAUAGCAAUAUCGAAAAGUAGGGUGGCGCACGGGUGCGUAACGCGUAGGUAAUCUGCCCUGAGGUCUGACAUAACCCGUCGAAAGGCGGCUAACAUCAGAUGAUAUAUAAUCACGACAUCGUGGAAAUAUCAAAUCUUCGGAGCCUUGGGAUGAGCCUGCGUCUGAUUAGGUAGUUGGCGGAGUAAUAGCCCACCAAGCCUACGAUCAGUAGCCGUGU